This 76-nucleotide transfer RNA is filed under the name Bacteroidetes bacterium CG12_big_fil_rev_8_21_14_0_65_60_17. RNAcentral's name for it is "tRNA-Ala". It matches the Rfam family "tRNA". From Rfam's summary of the family: Transfer RNA (tRNA) molecules are approximately 80 nucleotides in length. Their secondary structure includes four short double-helical elements and three loops (D, anti-codon, and T loops). Further hydrogen bonds mediate the characteristic L-shaped molecular structure. tRNAs have two regions of fundamental functional importance: the anti-codon, which is responsible for specific mRNA codon recognition, and the 3' end, to which the tRNAs corresponding amino acid is attached (by aminoacyl-tRNA synthetases). tRNAs cope with the degeneracy of the genetic code in two manners: having more than one tRNA (with a specific anti-codon) for a particular amino acid; and 'wobble' base-pairing, i.e. permitting non-standard base-pairing at the 3rd anti-codon position. The record is from RNAcentral. Lineage: Bacteria; Pseudomonadati; Bacteroidota.
GGGGCUAUAGCUCAGAUGGUAGAGCGCCUGGAUCGCACCCAGGAGGUCAGCGGUUCGAAUCCGCUUAGCUCCACGA